RNAcentral lists this transfer RNA (70 nucleotides) under Myotis brandtii (Brandt's bat). It matches the Rfam family "tRNA". Rfam says of the family: Transfer RNA (tRNA) molecules are approximately 80 nucleotides in length. Their secondary structure includes four short double-helical elements and three loops (D, anti-codon, and T loops). The record is from Rfam by way of RNAcentral. Lineage: Eukaryota; Metazoa; Chordata; Mammalia; Chiroptera; Vespertilionidae.
GCCUGUGUGGCUCAGUGGUUGAGCAUCAACCAUGCACCAAGAGAUUGCUGGUUCAAUUCCAGUCAGGGCA